This 87-nucleotide transfer RNA is filed under the name Aliterella atlantica CENA595. It matches the Rfam family "tRNA". Rfam says of the family: Transfer RNA (tRNA) molecules are approximately 80 nucleotides in length. Their secondary structure includes four short double-helical elements and three loops (D, anti-codon, and T loops). RNAcentral also lists the same sequence under 1 other name. The record is from Rfam by way of RNAcentral. Lineage: Bacteria; Bacillati; Cyanobacteriota; Cyanophyceae; Chroococcidiopsidales; Aliterellaceae.
GGAGAAGUGACUGAGAGGCUUAUAGUAUCUUCCUGCUAAGAAGACACGGUUUAAAACCCGUCGGGGGUUCAAAUCCCCCCUUCUCCG